This 253-nucleotide ribosomal RNA is filed under the name uncultured bacterium. RNAcentral's name for it is "partial 16S ribosomal RNA". It matches the Rfam family "Bacterial small subunit ribosomal RNA", at positions 524 to 776 of the family's 1533-position model. The record is from RNAcentral.
GACGGAGGGUGCUAGCGUUGUUCGGAAUUACUGGGCGUAAAGGGCGCGUAGGCGGCCGUUUGCGUCGGAUGUGAAAGCCCGGGGCUCAACCCCGGAACGGCAUCCGAUACGGGACGGCUGGAGACCGGGAGAGGAGGGUGGAAUAGCCAGUGUAGAGGUGAAAUUCGUAGAUAUUGGCUGGAACACCGGUGGCGAAAGCGGCUCUCUGGCCCGGUUCUGACGCUGAAGCGCGAAAGCGUGGGGAGCAAACAGG